UACGUAGGGACCAAGCGUUGUUCGGAUUUACUGGGCGUAAAGGGCGCGUCGGCGGCGUGGUAAGUCACUUGUGAAAUCUCUGAGCUUAACUCAGAACGGCCAAGUGAUACUGCUGUGCUAGAGUGCAGAAGGGGCAAUCGGAAUUCUUGGUGUAGCGGUGAAAUGCGUAGAUAUCAAGAGGAACACCUGAGGUGAAGACGGGUUGCUGGGCUGACACUGACGCUGAGGCGCGAAAGCCAGGGGAGCAAACGGG
Molecule: ribosomal RNA, 253 nt
Filed under: uncultured bacterium
Lineage: Bacteria
Description: partial 16S ribosomal RNA
Rfam family: Bacterial small subunit ribosomal RNA
Source: RNAcentral